RNAcentral lists this microRNA (22 nucleotides) under Caenorhabditis remanei. RNAcentral's name for it is "crm-miR-64c-3p". Its record names the gene crm-miR-64c-3p. Lineage: Eukaryota; Metazoa; Nematoda; Chromadorea; Rhabditida; Rhabditidae. The record is from miRBase by way of RNAcentral.
CAUAAAAGCUCAGUGUCAAACU